Molecule: ribosomal RNA, 621 nt
Filed under: uncultured Bacteroidales bacterium
Lineage: Bacteria; Pseudomonadati; Bacteroidota; Bacteroidia; Bacteroidales
Description: bacterial SSU rRNA
Rfam family: Bacterial small subunit ribosomal RNA
Source: RNAcentral
GGGAUUGAAGCUUGCUUCAAUUGCCGGCGACCGGCGCACGGGUGCGUAACGCGUAUGUAACCUACCUAUAACAGGGGCAUAACACUGAGAAAUUGGUACUAAUUCCCCAUAAUAUUCGGAGAGGCAUCUCUCCGGGUUGAAAACUCCGGUGGUUAUAGAUGGACAUGCGUUGUAUUAGCUAGUUGGUGAGGUAACGGCUCACCAAGGCAACGAUACAUAGGGGGACUGAGAGGUUAACCCCCCACACUGGUACUGAGACACGGACCAGACUCCUACGGGAGGCAGCAGUGAGGAAUAUUGGUCAAUGGACGCAAGCCUGAACCAGCCAUGCCGGCGUGCAGGAAGACGCCUCUAUGAGUUGUAAACUGCUUUUGUACGAGGGUAAACUCACCUACGUGUAGGUGACUGAAAGUAUCGUACGAAUAAGGAUCGGCUAACUCCGUGCCAGCAGCCGCGGUAAUACGGAGGAUUCAAGCGUUAUCCGGAUUUAUUGGGUUUAAAGGGUGCGUAGGCGGUUUGAUAAGUUAGAGGUGAAAUCCCGGGGCUUAACUCCGGAACUGCCUCUAAUACUGUUAGACUAGAGAGUAGUUGCGGUAGGCGGAAUGUAUGGUGUAGCGGUGA